CAAGCUUCGGGAUGUCUGGCAUCCUAUAGAUCGAAGGGAAGCACAUGGAGGGCAUCACAAGACGCACUUCAUAUGGAGUAGCCCCCAAGCAUUGAAGCGAUUAAUGUAAUCGGUCCAAUGGUUAAGAAUCUGAUGUAUUAUUUCCGUUGUAAAAGGGAUCCAAAUAUAGCACCCAGCCCCCGAGCGCAAGGAUUGGCAGAGCCACAGAGGCACGCCGACCUGAAAUAGGCACCCUACCCGCAAGGACUAGCGGAGCCACGGAGGCACACCGACCUGAAGUACGCACCCAGCCCCCAAGCGCGAGGACUGGCGGAGCCACGGAGGCACGCUGACCUGAAGUAGGUGACUAGCCCCCGAGCGCGAGGACUGGCAGAG
RNAcentral lists this long non-coding RNA (375 nucleotides) under Setaria viridis. RNAcentral describes it as "long non-coding RNA (SVIR_LNC003198)". Lineage: Eukaryota; Viridiplantae; Streptophyta; Magnoliopsida; Poales; Poaceae. The record is from RNAcentral.